CGGGAGGCAGCAGUAGGGAAUCUUCCACAAUGGACGAAAGUCUGAUGGAGCAACGCCGCGUGAGUGAAGAAGGGUUUCGGCUCGUAAAACUCUGUUGUUAAAGAAGAACAUAUCUGAGAGUAACUGUUCAGGUAUUGACGGUAUUUAACCAGAAAGCCACGGCUAACUACGUGCCAGCAGCCGCGGUAAUACGUAGGUGGCAAGCGUUGUCCGGAUUUAUUGGGCGUAAAGCGAGCGCAGGCGGUUUUUUAAGUCUGAUGUGAAAGCCUUCGGCUCAACCGAAGAAGUGCAUCGGAAACUGGGAAACUUGAGUGCAGAAGAGGACAGUGGAACUCCAUGUGUAGCGGUGAAAUGCGUAGAUAUAUGGAAGAACACCAGUGGCGAAGGCGGCUGUCUGGUCUGUAACUGACGCUGAGCUCGAAAGUAUGGGUAGCAAACAGGAUUAGAUACCCUGGUAGUCCAUACCGUAAACGAUGAAUGCUAAGUG
This 487-nucleotide ribosomal RNA is filed under the name Lactiplantibacillus plantarum. Its description in RNAcentral is "bacterial SSU rRNA". It matches the Rfam family "Bacterial small subunit ribosomal RNA", at positions 342 to 822 of the family's 1533-position model. The record is from RNAcentral. Lineage: Bacteria; Bacillati; Bacillota; Bacilli; Lactobacillales; Lactobacillaceae.